UAGUAACGGCGAGUGAAGAGGGAAAAGCUCAAAUUUUGAAUCUGGUGUCUUUGACUCCCGAGUUGUAAUCUAGAGAAGUGUUUUCCGUGUCGGACCGUGUACAAGUUCCCUGGAACGGGGCGUCAUAGAGGGUGAGAAUCCCGUAUAUGCCACGGACUACCGAUGCUCUGUGAUACACUCUCAACGAGUCGAGUUGUUUGGGAAUGCAGCUCAAAAUGGGUGGUAAAUUCCAUCUAAAGCUAAAUAUUGGCGAGAGACCGAUAGCGAACAAGUACCGUGAGGGAAAGAUGAAAAGCACUUUGGAAAGAGAGUGAAACAGUACGUGAAAUUGUUGAAAGGGAAGCGUUUGAAGUCAGUCACAUCUGUUGGGGUUCAGCCUGGCUUCUGCCUGGUGUAUUUCCUUUCCGAUGGGUCAGCAUCAGUUUCGACCGAGGGAAAAAGACAUUUGGAAUGUGGCUGUCUUCGGGCAGUGUUAUAGCCUUGUGUUGUAUGUCUCGGUUGGGACUGAGGAUUGCAGCGCGCCAUAAAUGGCCGGGGGUCGCUCCUCUCGACACGCGCUUAGGA
This 564-nucleotide ribosomal RNA is filed under the name uncultured Sebacinales. RNAcentral's name for it is "eukaryotic LSU rRNA". It matches the Rfam family "Eukaryotic large subunit ribosomal RNA", at positions 81 to 659 of the family's 3401-position model. Lineage: Eukaryota; Fungi; Basidiomycota; Agaricomycetes; Sebacinales. The record is from RNAcentral.